RNAcentral lists this ribosomal RNA (400 nucleotides) under uncultured bacterium. Its description in RNAcentral is "bacterial SSU rRNA". It matches the Rfam family "Bacterial small subunit ribosomal RNA", at positions 355 to 747 of the family's 1533-position model. The record is from RNAcentral.
UAGGGAAUAUUGGACAAUGGGGGAAACCCUGAUCCAGCGAUGCCGCGUGUGUGAAGAAGGCCUGCGGGUUGUAAAGCACUUUAAGUUGGGAAGAAAAGCUUGCGGUUAAUACCCGUAAGUGUUGACGUUACCAACAGAAUAAGCACCGGCUAACUCUGUGCCAGCAGCCGCGGUAAUACAGAGGGUGCAAGCGUUAAUCGGAAUUACUGGGCGUAAAGCGUGCGUAGGUGGUUGGCUAAGUCUGAUGUGAAAUCCCCGAGCUUAACUUGGGAACUGCAUUAGAUACUGGUUGGCUAGAGUAGGAUAGAGGAAAGCGGAAUUCCAGGUGUAGCGGUGAAAUGCGUAGAUAUCUGGAGGAACACCGGUGGCGAAGGCGGCUUUCUGGAUUCAUACUGACGCU